RNAcentral lists this ribosomal RNA (215 nucleotides) under Campeiostachys nutans. RNAcentral's name for it is "Elymus nutans partial small subunit ribosomal RNA". The stretch from base 37 to 215 matches the Rfam family "Eukaryotic small subunit ribosomal RNA", at positions 684 to 864 of the family's 1831-position model. Lineage: Eukaryota; Viridiplantae; Streptophyta; Magnoliopsida; Poales; Poaceae. The record is from RNAcentral.
GGACCAUCAUGUCGGUCGUGCCUCGGUACGUACUGGUAUUGUUGGUUUCUCCCUUCUGACGAACCAUGAUGUCAUUUAUUUGGUGUUGUGGGGAACCAGGACUUUUACCUUGAGAAAAUUAGAGUGUUUAAAGCAAGCUAACGCUUGAAUACAUUAGCAUGGAAUAAUGAAAUAGGACGUUUGACCCUAUUUUGUUGGUUUCUAGGAUCGACGUA